AUGAAACAAGGUAUGCUAUCCAGGAAGCUUAAAGAAGCUCUUGGUAUGCCUGAUGGUGCCCCACCCCCAUGGCUUAAAAGCAUGCAGUUGUAUGGUCCUCCACCCUCUUAUCCUUGUCAGAAGAUCCUGGGUUUAAAUGCCCUAGUAUCUACCGGAGACAGUUUUGGUGAUGCACCAGGGGAGUGGGGAAAGCCUCCUAUUGGCGAGGAAGAACCUCUCAAUCGCAGCAAGCACUGGGGAGAAUGGGAGGAAGGGGAAGCGGAGGAGGUGGAGCAGGAACCAAUGGAAGACGAGGAAAUAGAAGAAUCUUAA
This 312-nucleotide ribosomal RNA is filed under the name Triticum aestivum (bread wheat). RNAcentral's name for it is "partial small subunit ribosomal RNA". The record is from RNAcentral. Lineage: Eukaryota; Viridiplantae; Streptophyta; Magnoliopsida; Poales; Poaceae.